RNAcentral lists this ribosomal RNA (460 nucleotides) under uncultured bacterium. Its description in RNAcentral is "partial 16S ribosomal RNA". It matches the Rfam family "Bacterial small subunit ribosomal RNA", at positions 338 to 795 of the family's 1533-position model. The record is from RNAcentral.
CCUACGGGUGGCUGCAGUGAGGAAUAUUGGUCAAUGGACGAGAGUCUGAACCAGCCAAGUAGCGUGAAGGACGACUGCCCUAUGGGUUGUAAACUUCUUUUAUAUGGGAAUAAAAUGUUCCACGUGUGGGAUUUUGUAUGUACCAUCUGAAUAAGGAUCGGCUAACUCCGUGCCAGCAGCCGCGGUAAUACGGAGGAUCCGACCGUUUUCCGGAUUUAUUGGGUUUAAGGGGGGCGUAGGUGGAUUGUUAAGUCAGUUGUGAAAGUUUGCGGCUCAACCGUAAAAUUGCAGUUGAAACUGGCAGUCUGGAGUACGGUAGAGGUGGGCGGAAUGCGUGGUGUAGCGGUGAAAUGCAUAGAUAUCACGAAGAACUCCGAUUGCGAAGGCAGCUCACUGGACUGCAACUGACACUGAGGCACGAAAGUGUGGGUAUCAAACAGGAUUAGAUACCCGUGUAGUC